RNAcentral lists this unclassified non-coding RNA (315 nucleotides) under plant metagenome. Its description in RNAcentral is "partial contains 5.8S ribosomal RNA, internal transcribed spacer 2, and large subunit ribosomal RNA". The stretch from base 1 to 104 matches the Rfam family "5.8S ribosomal RNA", at positions 51 to 154 of the family's 154-position model. The record is from RNAcentral.
AAAUGCGAUAACUAGUGUGAAUUGCAGAAUUCCGUGAAUCAUCGAGUCUUUGAACGCACAUUACGCCCCCUGGUAUUCCGGGGGGCAUGCCUGUCCGAGCGUCAUUGCUGCCCAUCAAGCACGGCUUGUGUGUUGGGUCGUCGUCCCCUCUCCGGGGGGGACGGGCCCCAAAGGCAGCGGCGGCACCGCGUCCGAUCCUCGAGCGUAUGGGGCUUUGUCACCCGCUCUGUAGGCCCGGCCGGCGCUUGCCGAACGCAAAUCAAUCUUUUUCCAGGUUGACCUCGGAUCAGGUAGGGAUACCCGCUGAACUUAAGC